UUCUAUGGCCAUAUCACCCUGAAUGCACCUGAUCUCAUCUGAACUGGGAGCCACCUACAGCUUAGGGGUCCAGGAGGUGUGGUUUCCCAGAAUUGACUACCCUGGUAGCUAUUGUGA
Molecule: ribosomal RNA, 117 nt
Filed under: Ictidomys tridecemlineatus (thirteen-lined ground squirrel)
Lineage: Eukaryota; Metazoa; Chordata; Mammalia; Rodentia; Sciuridae
Source: RNAcentral